AACGCUAGCUACAGGCUUAACACAUGCAAGUCGAGGGGAAACGAUAUUGGAAGCUUGCUUCCGAUAGGCGUCGACCGGCGCACGGGUGAGUAACGCGUAUCCAACCUGCCCAUCACUUGGGAAUAACCUUGCGAAAGUAAGACUAAUGCCCAAUGAUAUCCCACGAAGGCAUCCGAAUGGGAUUAAAGAUUUAUCGGUGAUGGAUGGGGAUGCGUCUGAUUAGCUUGUUGGCGGGGUAACGGCCCACCAAGGCAACGAUCAGUAGGGGUUCUGAGAGGAAGGUCCCCCGCAUUGGAACUGAGACACGGUCCAAACUCCUACGGGAGGCAGCAGUGGGGAAUAUUGGUCAAUGGGCGAGAGCCUGAACCAGCCAAGUAGCGUGCAGGAUGACGGCCCUAUGGGUUGUAAACUGCUUUUAUAAGGGAAUAAAGUGGGUCACGUGUGACUUUUUGCAUGUACCUUAUGAAUAAGGACCGGCUAAUUCCGUGCCAGCAGCCGCGGUAAUACGGAAGGUCCGGGCGUUAUCCGGAUUUAUUGGGUUUAAAGGGAGCGUAGGCCGGAGAUUAAGCGUGUUGUGAAAUGUAGAGGCUCAACCUCUGCACUGCAGCGCGAACUGGUCUUCUUGAGUACGCACAACGUGGGCGGAAUUCGUGGUGUAGCGGUGAAAUGCUUAGAUAUCACGAAGAACUCCGAUUG
This 696-nucleotide ribosomal RNA is filed under the name uncultured bacterium. Its description in RNAcentral is "bacterial SSU rRNA". It matches the Rfam family "Bacterial small subunit ribosomal RNA", at positions 32 to 715 of the family's 1533-position model. The record is from RNAcentral.